This 744-nucleotide ribosomal RNA is filed under the name uncultured bacterium. Its description in RNAcentral is "bacterial SSU rRNA". It matches the Rfam family "Bacterial small subunit ribosomal RNA", at positions 8 to 796 of the family's 1533-position model. The record is from RNAcentral.
AGAGUUUGAUCCUGGCUCAGAGCGAACGCUGGCGGCAGGCCUAACACAUGCAAGUCGAACGGGCCCUUUCGGGGGUCAGUGGCAGACGGGUGAGUAACGCGUGGGAACGUGCCCAUCGGUUCGGGAUAACCCAGGGAAACUUGGGCUAAUACCGGAUACGCCCUUUUGGGGAAAGAUUCAUUGCCGAUGGAUCGGCCCGCGUCUGAUUAGCUUGUUGGUGAGGUAACGGCUCACCAAGGCGACGAUCAGUAGCUGGUCUGAGAGGAUGAUCAGCCACACUGGGACUGAGACACGGCCCAGACUCCUACGGGAGGCAGCAGUGGGGAAUAUUGGACAAUGGGCGCAAGCCUGAUCCAGCCAUGCCGCGUGAGUGAUGAAGGCCUUAGGGUUGUAAAGCUCUUUCACCCACGACGAUAAUGACGGUAGUGGGAGAAGAAGCCCCGGCUAACUUCGUGCCAGCAGCCGCGGUAAUACGAAGGGGGCUAGCGUUGCUCGGAAUCACUGGGCGUAAAGGGCGCGUAGGCGGCCGAUCAAGUCAGGGGUGAAAGCCUGUGGCUCAACCACAGAAUUGCCUUUGAUACUGUUUGGCUCGAGACCGGAAGAGGUUGGUGGAACUGCGAGUGUAGAGGUGAAAUUCGUAGAUAUUCGCAAGAACACCAGUGGCGAAGGCGGCCAACUGGUCCGGUUCUGNNGCUGAGGCGCGAAAGCGUGGGGAGCAAACAGGAUUAGAUACCCUAGUAGUCC